Molecule: unclassified non-coding RNA, 297 nt
Filed under: uncultured fungus
Lineage: Eukaryota; Fungi
Description: sequence contains ITS1
Rfam family: 5.8S ribosomal RNA (bases 1-105)
Source: RNAcentral
GAAAUGCGAUAAGUAAUGUGAAUUGCAGAAUUCAGUGAAUCAUCGAAUCUUUGAACGCACAUUGCGCCCGCUAGUAUUCUGGCGGGCAUGCCUGUUCGAGCGUCAUUUCAACCAUCAGGCCCUGUUUAGGUCUGUGUUGGGGGCCUGCGCCUGCCGCAGCCCCCUAAAUGCAGUGGCGGGCUCGCUGUUACCCCGAGCGCAGUAGUGUAUCUCGCUCUGGGCGUGGCAGCGGGUGCUAGCCGUGAAACACUCACUAAGGUUGACCUCGGAUCAGGUAGGAAUACCCGCUGAACUUAA